GAUAGCCUUGAGUACAAAACCUGAAGAAUAUAUUACUUAAUCGCCUGAAUACAAAAACAGACAUUACAAGACAUACACCGACAACACACAGACAUUACCACAAAUAGCUGCAAGGUACAGAAUAUACCGAAGAGACACAGACAUUACCACAAACAGCUGCAAGGUGCAGGAUAUACCAAAGAGACACAGGCGCUUCAGAUGAACACGGAACGGAAGGGAGAUGAAAAUGAAGCUUUCAGCCGGAGAUAUCAAUGGAUUUCGUCUCCGGUUUCUUCACCUCCACCUUGGGGACGGUGACGGUGAGCACGCCAUUUUCCAUCGCCGCCUUCACCUCCUCCACCUUUGCAUUCUCCGGCAGCCGGAAUACGCGGAGGAAUUGGCCGCUGCUGCGCUCCACGCGGUGCCAGGUGUCGGUCUUCUCCUCCUGCUCCUUCCUCCUCUCCCCGCUGAUCUUGAGGACGCGGCCGUCCUCCACCUCAACCUUCACCUCCUCCUUCUUCACCCCGGGCAGAUCGGCCUUGAAGAGAUGG
RNAcentral lists this unclassified non-coding RNA (530 nucleotides) under Hevea brasiliensis (rubber tree). Lineage: Eukaryota; Viridiplantae; Streptophyta; Magnoliopsida; Malpighiales; Euphorbiaceae. The record is from RNAcentral.